Non-coding RNA from Streptococcus gallolyticus, 110 nucleotides. The record is from Rfam. NCBI's taxonomy places the organism in Bacteria, Bacillati, Bacillota, Bacilli, Lactobacillales, Streptococcaceae.
AAUGAUGGUUUAGUCGCUUUUCAUUAUAAGUCUUAUGGGGCUUUUUUGAUACACUGAAAAAGCUCCAUAAUCUCUGUGGGGGAUUUACCCACUACAGAAAUUAUAGAGCC